This 506-nucleotide ribosomal RNA is filed under the name uncultured bacterium. RNAcentral's name for it is "partial 16S ribosomal RNA". It matches the Rfam family "Bacterial small subunit ribosomal RNA", at positions 28 to 523 of the family's 1533-position model. The record is from RNAcentral.
GAUGAACGCUAGCUACAGGCUUAACACAUGCAAGUCGAGGGGUAACGAGAGGAAAGCUUGCUUUCCUUGUCGACGACCGGCGCACGGGUGAGUAACGCGUAUCCAACCUGCCCCCAACUAGGGAAUAACCUAGCGAAAGUAAGACUAAUACCCUAUAAUUUCCUCAGAUGACAUCUGACGAGUAAUCAAGAUUUAUCGGUUGUGUCUGGGGAUGCGUCUGAUUAGCUUGUUGGCGGGGUAACGGCCCACCAAGGCAACGAUCAGUAGGGGUUCUGAGAGGAAGGUCCCCCACAUUGGAACUGAGACACGGUCCAAACUCCUACGGGAGGCAGCAGUGAGGAAUAUUGGUCAAUGGGCGGAAGCCUGAACCAGCCAAGUAGCGUGCAGGAUGACGGCCCUAUGGGUUGUAAACUGUUUUUAUACAGGAAUAAAGUUAGCCACGUGUGGUUAUUUGUAGGUACUGUAUGAAUAAGGACCGGCUAAUUCCGUGCCAGCAGCCGCCGUAA